Molecule: ribosomal RNA, 107 nt
Filed under: Jaculus jaculus (lesser Egyptian jerboa)
Lineage: Eukaryota; Metazoa; Chordata; Mammalia; Rodentia; Dipodidae
Source: RNAcentral
AAUGUAACAUCCUAAAUAUACCUGAUCUCAUCUGAUUCUGGAAGCUCAAGUAGGGCUGGGCUUUGUUAGUACUUGGAUGGGAGAAAAUGAAAUGACAAAUUCCAAUU